GACGAACGCUGGCGGCGCGCUUAACACAUGCAAGUCGAGCGACCACCCAUCCGCUUGCGGAUGCUGAAAGCGGCGAACGGGUGAGUAACACGUGGGUGACCUGCCCUCGGCACCGGGAUAGCCCGGGGAAACCCGGAUUAAUACCGGAUGGCCUCACCGGUCUACGGGCCAGUGAGAAAAGGUAGCUUCGGCUUCUAGCCGAGGAUGGGCCCGCGUCCGAUUAGCUAGUUGGUGAGGUAAUGGCUCACCAAGGCGACGAUCGGUAGCUGGUCUGAGAGGACGAUCAGCCACACUGGGACUGAGACACGGCCCAGACUCCUACGGGAGGCAGCAGUGGGGAAUCUUGCGCAAUGGGCGAAAGCCUGACGCAGCGACGCCGCGUGCGGGAGGAAGGCCUUCGGGUUGUAAACCGCUUUCAGGGGGGACGAAGCCACUCGGGUGAAUAGCCCAGAGGGUGACGGUACCCCAGAAGAAGCCCCGGCUAACUACGUG
Molecule: ribosomal RNA, 492 nt
Filed under: uncultured bacterium
Lineage: Bacteria
Description: bacterial SSU rRNA
Rfam family: Bacterial small subunit ribosomal RNA
Source: RNAcentral